ACUCAUCUCCAUCAGCAGCCUUGGGUUUGGUGGGGCUUGCCACUGGUCAGCUUGACCUUUAUAGCAUUUGCUCGCAGCCCUGAAGGUGUACAAACUGGAUGUCUCAUGAUUAUGUCCAGAGUGGUUAUCAAGUUUCUGAGCAGAAAGCUCAACUGAUCAAAGAGAAGGAAGCAAUUUGCCGAAUGCCCAGGACUCCAGUGCAGAGCUACCUCCAAGCUGGCAGUGUGUGACUGCUUAGACAAUGUCUGUGCCAGGUAGCCAAACAUAAAGGAGGAACCAUUGAAUGAUGCUGAGGAAUCCUGAAUUCAUCGAUGGAAGCAGUUUUGUGGGACAAGGAAAUCAUAAGGCAGGAUAUGCAGUAACUGCUGCUGACCAGGUUCCUGUAGUAAACAAACUUGUGCUUGCUAGGCACUAUCUUGAGGAAUGUGUAUCCAAAUCUUGUCCUUAUCAAAAGUUACCUGAGCUCCUAGCUUGUUCAACAAAUUCCAUCUCAUAGGAGGUGUGCUUCUGCUUGCAGGAUGCCUGCCAUUGCCAGCGUGAACAAAAUCUGCUUAUAUCAGAGAUACCGUCCUGAUAAAUUAUUUGGAUAUUUCCAACACCUGAUAACAGUCUCUGGCCUAAAAUUGUUCAGUUAAAGAUAGGGCUAAUCUCCCUACAUGAAGGCUAAUUUUUCCAGGAUGCUCCUAUCUCAAAGAAAGUUUAGUCAUCACAUUGUGAUCAAGAGUUCCUCUCCUUAAUCACCUUAGCACUUUCAAGCGUGGUCAUCCUGACCUAGAUAAAAUACAUGUUUGUUGUAUUUAAUGAUAAAGAUACAAAGACUUGUAACCUUUGUAGGUUAGUUCUUACCUGACUGACAUUAUGUUUGACAUUGUUUUGAAGAAGUAAUAAAACAAAAUAUUCUGUUAAUAUAUCCUUAUAAGGGUAGCCACUGAAUUUUAUAAUAUGAUUAAUGCUUGCCUACAAGACCAUAGUAGCCUUUAGAUAUUGUGGAUGAUAACUGUGAUGUACCACUGAAGAUGUGGAAGCAUGUUAUAAGACUGUUCUGUUUAACAAGGCAAAAGAAAACACAACAAUGGAAAAACUGUGCCUGUUUUACAGUCCUUAUAAAUGUCAAAAGGAACAGGGACCCCCACACCAGGCCCAAUUAGCCUAAAAUGCGACUGACAAGCAUCAAGACAUUCCCCUUUAUAUUUCUUAUCUGUCUGUGCAGUCUCCUCUUGUUGGCCUUGCAUUCCACAGCAAUCUUUGGUUGAGACAGAAGGAGUGUUUUUAAAAGACAAAGACUGUUGGAUGAAAUAAGCGAGGCUAUCUAUCCCAAGCCCAAGGACUAACAGUGGACCAUCACGAUACUAGAAGGACCCUAGAUGACAUGGAAGAUGGAACGUUACGAAUAUGUAAUACAUGUGACAGAUUAUAGUGCAGGAACGAUCAACCAGUGGAGCAUUUUUGAAGAGUUAUCCCAAUGUUAUCCCAGUGCUGCCAAUAAGAAUAUGUGAUUUAAGGUAAUAAGACUUUUGCUGUUAAGUCUCUCUGCACAGAUUUUUUCAGAUCAACUUUUUUAGUAUUAUAUUAGCAUUAUUUCUAAGUUCCCCUGAGAAGCAUUAAAGUACAUAUCACAGACAGCACACUUAUCUCAAAUAAUUCCAAACUGCUUUACAAUAAAAAUUUUCAGG
Gallus gallus (chicken) is the source of this 1673-nucleotide long non-coding RNA. NCBI's taxonomy places the organism in Eukaryota, Metazoa, Chordata, Aves, Galliformes, Phasianidae. The record is from Ensembl.